This 700-nucleotide ribosomal RNA is filed under the name uncultured fungus. RNAcentral describes it as "eukaryotic LSU rRNA". The stretch from base 294 to 447 matches the Rfam family "5.8S ribosomal RNA". Lineage: Eukaryota; Fungi. The record is from RNAcentral.
GAAGUAAAAGUCGUAACAAGGUUUCCGUAGGUGAACCUGCGGAAGGAUCAUUAUUGAAUAAACCUGAUGGGUUGUUGCUGGUUCUUCUCUAAGAACAGGUGCACGCCUGUCAUCUUUAUAUCUCCACCUGUGCACCCAUUGUAGACCUGCAUAGUUCUCUGAAUGCGCUGGUAUUCAGGUUUGAGGAUUGGCUCUCUGUCUCUCCUUACAUUUUCAGGUCUAUGUUUCUUCAUAUACCCCAGUUUUAUGUUAUAGAAUGUAAUCAAUGGGCCGUUGUGCCUAUAAAACUAUACAACUUUCAGCAACGGAUCUCUUGGCUCUCGCAUCGAUGAAGAACGCAGCGAAAUGCGAUAAGUAAUGUGAAUUGCAGAAUUCAGUGAAUCAUCGAAUCUUUGAACGCACCUUGCGCUCCUUGGUAUUCCGAGGAGCAUGCCUGUUUGAGUGUCAUUAAUAUAUCAACCUCUUCAGCGUUUUUGCUUGUUGAGUGUUGGAUGUGGGGGGUUUUCUUUGCUGGUCUUUUAUGAGGUCAGCUCCCCUAAAAUGCAUUAGCAGAACAAGUUGUUGACUGUUCAUUGGUGUGAUAACUAUCUACGCUAUUGAACAGUAGGCCAGUUCAGCUUCUAAUAGUCCAUUAACUUGGACAGGUUUCAUUAAUGUGACCUCAAAUCAGGUAGGACUACCCGCUGAACUUAAGCAUAUC